This 468-nucleotide ribosomal RNA is filed under the name uncultured bacterium. RNAcentral's name for it is "partial 16S ribosomal RNA". It matches the Rfam family "Bacterial small subunit ribosomal RNA", at positions 28 to 507 of the family's 1533-position model. The record is from RNAcentral.
GACGAACGCUGGCGGCGUGCUUAACACAUGCAAGUCGAACGGAAAGGCCCUGCUUUUGUGGUGUGCUCGAGUGGCGAACGGGUGAGUAACACGUGAGUAACCUGCCCUUGACUUUGGGAUAACUUCAGGAAACUGGGGCUAAUACCGGAUAGGAUCUCCUGCUGCAUGGUAGGGGUUGGAAAGUUUCGGCGGUUGGGGAUGGACUCGCGGCUUAUCAUCUUGUUGGUGGGGUAGUGGCUUACCAAGGCUUUGACGGGUAGCCGGCCUGGGAGGGUGACCGGCCACAUUGGGACUGAGAUACGGACCAGAGUCCUACGGGAGGCAGCGGUGGGGAAUAUUGCACAAUGGGCGGAAGCCUGAUGCAGCAACGCCGCGUGCGGGAUGACGGCCUUCGGGUUGUAAACCGCUUUCGCCUGUGACGAAGCGUGAGUGACGGUAAUGGGUAAAGAAGCACCGGCUAACUACGUG